GUGGGGAAUAUUGGACAAUGGGCGAAAGCCUGAUCCAGCCAUGCCGCGUGUGUGAAGAAGGUCUUCGGAUUGUAAAGCACUUUAAGUUGGGAGGAAGGGCAGUAAGUUAAUACCUUGCUGUUUUGACGGUACCCAAAGAAUAAGCACCGGCUAACUUCGUGCCAGCAGCCGCGGUAAUACGAAGGGUGCAAGCGUUACUCGGAAUUACUGGGCGUAAAGCGUGCGUAGGUGGUGGUUUAAGUCCGUUGUGAAAGCCCUGGGCUCAAUCUGGGAACUGCCUCCAAAACUGCAUGACUAAAGUACGGUAGAGGGUAGUGGAAUUUCCUGUGUAGCGGUGAAAUGCGUAGAUAUAGGAAGGAACACCAGUGGCGAAGGCGACUACCUGGACUGAUACUGACACUGAGGUGCGAAAGCGUGGGGAGCAAACAGGAUUAGAAACCCUAGUAGUCC
RNAcentral lists this ribosomal RNA (450 nucleotides) under uncultured bacterium. RNAcentral's name for it is "partial 16S ribosomal RNA". It matches the Rfam family "Bacterial small subunit ribosomal RNA", at positions 354 to 796 of the family's 1533-position model. The record is from RNAcentral.